UCCAGGCAGAAGGGUCACUCAUCCUCUCCUUUCCCUCACCUGCAGCUCUGGGGGUUGAGGAAAGGACAAAAUAGAGCAAACAGAAUCCUUCCAGAUGGUCAGAUAGUCCUGGUUUAUAACAGGGCACAGUAACCUGAAUUUUAUGGAUGAAGAAAUGGAGACCCAUUUCCUUAUGGAUGAAGAAAUGAAGAGAAGUUAAGCAACUUUCCAGAGGCCCCCCGGCGGCAGGGUGCUUGGAUGCCAGCAACAGAAAUAGACUUUGGUUAAUGUAAGCAAACAUAGAAUGUAGAAAUGAGCCAUCAAGCCAUGAAAAGAUGUGGAGGAAACUUAAUGAAAUUCACAUUGCUAAGAGGAAGAAGUCAACCGAAAAGGCCACACAUGGUAUGAUUUCAGGGACGUGAUAUUUUGCAAAAGGCAAAACGAUGGGGACAAUAAAAGGAUUAGGGGUUGUCAGGUGUUAGGAUGGAGGAAGGGAUGAGUAGGUGGGAUUUUCAGGGCAGCAAAACGACUCUGUAUGAGACUGUACUGGUGGGCACAUGUUAUUACAGACUUUGGGUGAUGAUGUGUCAGUGUAGGUUCAUUGGUUGUAACAAUUGGACCGCGCUGGUGGGGGAUGUUGACAGUGGGGGAGAAUGUUGGAGGAGGGAGAUAUACGGGAAAUCUGUAUCUUCCUCUCAAUUUUGUUGUGAAUUUAAAACCGCUCUAAACAAUAACAGUCUAUUUUUUAGAAACAAAAUAUAUUGAAAGGAUCAUGGGGAGCUCAUGGAUUUCUGGCCUCUUUUGAGCCUAUGGAGGGAGACAGGUCCAGCUCUUGCCAAGAACUGCCCAGUGGGGGAUUCUCCUCCUACAGAGGAAAGGUGUUCAGAUGCUGAGUACAAAAAAUUUCCCCCCAACCCCAUCCCAAUAAGGUUCUGUGGUGAUGGAUGUUUUCGGCACCAGACCUGACACACAGUAAAAGCCCAGUAAAUGGUAAUUAUUCUUAUUCUUAUUAAUAAGAAUAUCCAGGAAGAGGCUGCUCAGCCUGUCUCCAUGCCUGUGGUAGAAAUUCUAGGCCACUUUUCCUGUGGGAUGAUUUAGACUUCCUUUAUGAACAGAGACACAAACCGAGCCAGCACACCCUCAGGACAGAAGGAUGCU
Long non-coding RNA from Cercocebus atys (sooty mangabey), 1137 nucleotides. RefSeq lists it as uncharacterized. The record is from RefSeq and is a predicted model, not a curated record. Lineage: Eukaryota; Metazoa; Chordata; Mammalia; Primates; Cercopithecidae. The transcript has 3 exons.